AUUAAACUUCGUGUAAUACGGCGGGAAUUAAAAAGCGAUUAAAAAGAUCGUUAAUUUGUGCGUGUUAGUUUAACUGGGGCGGUUAUCUUCUAAAACGUAACGAAGAUAUUUAUAAAACCCUGGAUAUAAGAUAUAUUGAAAUAAAUAUACAGGGUUUGAUUGGUUUAUAAGCAAAUAAACCAAGGGUUUAGGCCUAAUAUAUUGACCUGACUUUUAAUAUCGGAUUUAUUGUCGUUUUAAUGGAUAAAAGGUACGCUAGGGAUAACAGGCUGAUAAAUUUUGAGAGUUCUUAUUGAUAAAUUUGUUUGGCACCUCGAUGUCGGCUCAUCGCAUCCUGGUGGUGCAGGGGCCACCAAGGGUUUAACUGUUCGUUAAUGAAAGCGGUACGUGAGCUGGGUUUAAAACGUCGUGAGACAGUUUGGUCCCUACCUGCUAUUAGUGUAAAUAAUACUUAAUGUUUUACUUCAGUACGCA
Molecule: ribosomal RNA, 474 nt
Filed under: uncultured bacterium
Lineage: Bacteria
Description: bacterial LSU rRNA
Rfam family: Bacterial large subunit ribosomal RNA
Source: RNAcentral